GCAAGUUGAGCGGGAUUCUAAAAGCUUGCUUUUAGAUGAGAGCGGCGAACGGGUGAGUAACACGUGAGUAACCUGCCUUUCAGUUGGGGAUAGCCCUCCUAACGGGGGAUUAAUACCGAAUAUUGUAAUACUAUCACAUGGUGGAAUUACAAAAGGCGCAUUGUGUCGCUGAAAGAUGGACUCGCGGUAGAUUAGUUUGUUGGUGAGGUAAUGGCUCACCAAGACUACGAUCUAUAGCCGGCCUGAGAGGGCGAUC
This 256-nucleotide ribosomal RNA is filed under the name uncultured bacterium. RNAcentral's name for it is "partial 16S ribosomal RNA". It matches the Rfam family "Bacterial small subunit ribosomal RNA", at positions 57 to 305 of the family's 1533-position model. The record is from RNAcentral.